UGUUUUUCUAUGUUGUGAUUUUAUGCUAUUGUUUCAGAAAAAGGGAGAAGGUUUGGAUCCAUUAAAACGUUUAAUUCCGCUGCAAAUGUUUGCACCUGUCCUAAGUCAGGAAUCUGAUGUACAGUAGUUGUCGUUUGUUUAUGUAAUAUAUACGUGUUUCUCGUUUCUCGUUUUGUUUAUAUAGAUUAGACCGUUGGUUUUCCCGUUUGAAUGGUUUUAUACUAGUAAUUUUGGGGCCCUUUAUAGCUUGUUGUUCGGUGUGAGCCAAGGCUCCGUGUUGAAGGCCGUACUUUAACCUAUAAUGGUUUACUUUUUUAAAUUGUUAUUUGGAUGGAGAGUUGUCUCAUUGGCACUCACACCACAUCUGCCUUUAUCUAUUAACGAGAAAUGGAUAGAUAUAGACCAUUCUGUCUCUGAGGAAAUUAAUAAAGUAAUAGAAUCUGGUACUAAAUUAGACGCGCAAAACAAAACUUUACUUGAAAUUCUCCACAAAAAUGAUCCAGUUGAAAUUUUUGAUUGCAGAGAAAGUUAUGCCAGCAUAAGGCCUACGGUUCUAAACUUCAACACGAUGCCAGUAUUUGUUCCUAAUAAGCUUCAUGAAAAUGACUUGAAAUGUGGUUCUUUGAAACAGCUGCAAUCCAUCCCCAAACAAACAACAUCAAUAUCAACUUCAAACACAAAAUUUCAACUUUUGAACUAUUUACUCUGAAACAAAUUUCCAACUUGAAAGUUGGGGCAGAUGACUUGAUAUAGAUAGCUUAUCGAUUUGAGCAAAUUCUUUUAAAUAUUGAAGUAACGGAACAAUGCCCAAAAAUGAUUAAUCGGUUCACUGAUCUAUAUGUCUACGUUAUGGAUUUCUUAUUUAUUAUUACUUUUACUGUUAAGUAUGUAUUGUGUUGUAUCUACUUUACUUGACUUUGUAUUUAUGUAUGCCGUCAUACUUUGAACGACAAAUUAUUAUUGUUACUUUUACUGUUAAGUAUGUUUUUUUGUUAUAUCUACUUUACUUGACUCUGUAUUUAUGUAUGUCGUCAUACUUUGAACGACAAAAUUAUUUUAUGUCUACUUGUUCGAAUUUCAAACGCGCAAUUUUACACCAGUACUGAAAACCUUCCAUCCUUUAUGCGUGGACUUUACAUAGAUACAUAAAAUUGUAUAAUAUAAGCAAAAUGAGGAUGUUAAAUUUGAUGUAUGCCUUUUUUGUGCUUCUUCGUUACAUUAGUUGUUUUAUAGUGAUUUUAAAAGAUGAUAACACAAUGUUGACUGCUGUACCCCUAAUUUUGACAUUUUUACCUAUUGUGUCUGUUUGUUUUGUUCACGUAUCGCAGGGGCGGAUCCAGUCAUUUUAAAAAGGGGGGUUCCCAACCCAGGACAAAGGGGGGUUCCAACUAUAUUUCUCCAUUCAAAUGCAUUGAUCAACCAAAAAAGGGGGCUUCAACCCCCGGAACCCUCCCCCUGGAUCCGCCAAUGCAUCGUUGACAAUGUAAUGGAAUUUGAUGCGACUGUCAUACAAGUGAGAGGUUUAGCUAGCUAUAAAACCAGGUUCAAUCCACCAUUUUCUACAUAAUAAAAUGCCUGUACCAAGUCAGGAAUAUGACAGUUGUUAUCCAUUCGUUUGAUGUGUUUGAACUUUUGAAUUUGCCCUUUGAUUUGGGACUUUCCUUUUUAAAUUUUCCUCGGAGUUCAGUGUUUUUGUUUUUAUUUUUUAAACAGGAUUUAUUAUUAUCCAUUGAAAAUUGCAAAGUCUCAGUCAUACCAAGUGGAAGCAAACAGAUAAGGGAUCUUUGUAAUAUGUCUCCCCUUGUUACAGAAGCUAUCCUCAGUGCCCAAGGAUAGACAAAUAAUUAUCGGUGCUAUGGACGAUGGACCACACUUCCCAGUUGGAAAAAAAAUCAAAACGGCAACUUUUAAUAAUUAAUGAAAAAGAAAAAUUGAUAAGGACUUUAGACAUGGAAAAGGAACAAAUGCCUCAAUUUACGUUUCCAAGUCGUAUUGCAAGUAAUUCGAAAGGGUAUGUAGCAGUUAUUGAUAUCCAUUCACAAGAAUACGGUGGUAGGGUUGUGGUUCUGAAUAGGAAUGGGGAAAAUAUAAGCUUCUACACUGGUCAUCCAGAAACAGAGGCAGAUUUAGGGGGGG
This 2136-nucleotide long non-coding RNA is filed under the name Mytilus galloprovincialis (Mediterranean mussel). Lineage: Eukaryota; Metazoa; Mollusca; Bivalvia; Mytilida; Mytilidae. The record is from RNAcentral.